Molecule: ribosomal RNA, 390 nt
Filed under: uncultured Megasphaera sp.
Lineage: Bacteria; Bacillati; Bacillota; Negativicutes; Veillonellales; Veillonellaceae
Description: bacterial SSU rRNA
Rfam family: Bacterial small subunit ribosomal RNA
Source: RNAcentral
CUGCUAAUACCGAAUACGAUCUUUUCGUCGCAUGACGGAAAAGAAGAAAAGGAUGGCCCUAUACAAAGCUAUCGCGAAGGAGGGGUUUUGCGUCUGAUUAGCUGGUUGGAGGGGUAACGGCCCAACAAGGCGAUGAUCAGUAGCCGGUCUGAGAGGAUGAACGGCACAUUGGGACUGAGACACGGCCCAGACUCCUACGGGAGGCAGCAGUGGGGAAUCUUCCGCAAUGGACGAAAGUCUGACGGAGCAACGCCGCGUGAGUGAAGAAGGUCUUCGGAUUGUAAAGCUCUGUUAUACGGGACGAAAAAGACGGAUGCCAACAGUAUCCGUCCGUGACGGUACCGUAAGAGAAAGCCACGGGCUAACUACGUGCCAGCAGCCGCGGUAAAU